RNAcentral lists this ribosomal RNA (305 nucleotides) under uncultured bacterium. RNAcentral's name for it is "bacterial SSU rRNA". It matches the Rfam family "Bacterial small subunit ribosomal RNA", at positions 333 to 654 of the family's 1533-position model. The record is from RNAcentral.
CGGGUCCUACGGGGGGCAGCAGUGGGGGAUAUUGCACAAUGGGGGGAACCCUGAUGCAGCGACGCCGCGUGGGUGAAGGAGCGUUUCGGCGCGUAAAGCCCUAUCGGCAGGGAAGAAGGAGGACGGUACCUGACUAAGAAGCCACGGCUAACUACGUGCCAGCAGCCGCGGUAAUACGUAGGGGGCAAGCGUUAUCCGGAUUCACUGGGUGUAAUGUGAGCGUAGACCGCCAUGCAAGCCUGGAGUGUAAGCCCGGGGCCCAACCCCGGGACUGCUCUGGGAACUGUGCGGCUGGAUGGCGGGAG